RNAcentral lists this ribosomal RNA (429 nucleotides) under Actinomycetes bacterium. RNAcentral describes it as "Actinobacteria bacterium partial 16S ribosomal RNA". It matches the Rfam family "Bacterial small subunit ribosomal RNA", at positions 355 to 776 of the family's 1533-position model. Lineage: Bacteria; Bacillati; Actinomycetota; Actinomycetes. The record is from RNAcentral.
UAGGGAAUCUUCCGCAAUGGGCGAAAGCCUGACGGAGCAACGCCGCGUGAGUGAUGAAGGUCUUCGGAUCGUAAAACUCUGUUAUUAGGGAAGAACAAAUGUGUAAGUAACUAUGCACGUCUUGACGGUACCUAAUCAGAAAGCCACGGCUAACUACGUGCCAGCAGCCGCGGUAAUACGUAGGUGGCAAGCGUUAUCCGGAAUUAUUGGGCGUAAAGCGCGCGUAGGCGGUUUUUUAAGUCUGAUGUGAAAGCCCACGGCUCAACCGUGGAGGGUCAUUGGAAACUGGAAAACUUGAGUGCAGAAGAGGAAAGUAGAAUUCCAUGUGUAGCGGUGAAAUGCGCAGAGAUAUGGAGGAACACCAGUGGCGAAGGCGACUUUCUGGUCUGUAACUGACGCUGAUGUGCGAAAGCGUGGGGAUCAAACAGG